UGCUGUGAUGAUUCAAUAGACUAGAGUCUCUGAAGACAUUAUGAAGCUCUUAACAUUUCACUGAGCA
This is a small nucleolar RNA of Myxocyprinus asiaticus (Chinese sucker), 67 nucleotides long. RefSeq annotates it as small nucleolar RNA SNORD52. NCBI's taxonomy places the organism in Eukaryota, Metazoa, Chordata, Actinopteri, Cypriniformes, Catostomidae. The transcript has a single exon. The record is from RefSeq and is a predicted model, not a curated record.